AUGGAAGGCCCGAACGGGCUGAGACAUGAGGAAAUUCUGCCCCUGGGAAGCAGACAUGUGUUUCUUUAUUAUUAUGUCUGAUUGCAAAAGUAGAACAUCUGGAAAAUACAGACAAAGGUAAAGGGAAAAAAAUCACCAUAACCACCAAGGAUCUUGAACAAACUGAAUAGGCGUGAUGAGAGCACUCCCCAUCUUGGAGGAACGCUGUCCGUCUUUGAUCAUUGAGUAUGCACAGCGGUGGGUUUUCACAGAUCUGCUUUAUCAGGUUCAGGAAGUUCCCUUCUAUUUUUAUUUCACUCUGCCCAUCCCUGAUGUCUGCUUUCUGCUUGCACUGGCUUCUCUCAAGGUGGCAAAGUAACUGCAGCGCUGUCAGAUCUGCAUCUCGACCCCACACUGCUCAAGAGGAUCAGGUGGGAUUAGACCCAAAGUCACCAGCCCUCGCUGAUCCGUGGGCAGAGGGAACUGUGUUCUGACUGGCUGAGGCCCGGACUGCCAGACCAAUCACCUGGAGGGGCGGCAGCACUGAUCCAGUUGGCCUCUGGGGCACUGGGGGCAGGCCCCUGUGCGGUGGCUGAUGCGGUGGCGAGGCGGGGGGGCGGCCAUGGCUGAUGGGGGACACCCCAGUAGGCGGGAAGCGGGAAUGCAGUAAUUACGAGCAUGGCGUCAGAGCCAGCCUGCCAGGGUCUGAAUCCUGGCUGUGCCACUUAAGAGCUAUGUGGUCUUAAUCACUCCUCAGCCUCUUCGUGCCUCAGUUUCCUCAUCUGUAUGGUGGGGAUGGGAAUACUGGUGUACCUACCUCAUGGGCAGCUGUGGGGAUUAAUGAGUUAACUCGCGUAAAUGAGUAAGUGCUAUGGUCUCCCCCUACCUCCGCUUUCAGAUCAAAAACAGAGGCUGAAAGUUGACGCCACACACCCCAAGUCAGCAAACACUCAUUAAGCACCCACUGUAUGCCGGGUGUGGCGCUAGGUCUGCA
RNAcentral lists this long non-coding RNA (973 nucleotides) under Equus caballus (horse). RNAcentral's name for it is "lncRNA (ENSECAG00000050697.1)". Lineage: Eukaryota; Metazoa; Chordata; Mammalia; Perissodactyla; Equidae. The record is from RNAcentral.